RNAcentral lists this ribosomal RNA (505 nucleotides) under uncultured bacterium. RNAcentral describes it as "partial 16S ribosomal RNA". It matches the Rfam family "Bacterial small subunit ribosomal RNA", at positions 28 to 507 of the family's 1533-position model. The record is from RNAcentral.
GACGAACGCUGGCGGCGUGCCUAAUACAUGCAAGUAGAACGCACAGUUUAUACCGUAGCUUGCUACACCAUAAACUGUGAGUUGCGAACGGGUGAGUAACGCGUAGGUAACCUGCCUGGUAGCGGGGGAUAACUAUUGGAAACGAUAGCUAAUACCGCAUAAUAUUGAUUAUUGCAUGAUAAUUGAUUGAAAGAUGCUAUUGCAUCACUACCAGAUGGACCUGCGUUGUAUUAGCUAGUAGGUGAGGUGACGGCUCACCUAGGCGACGAUACAUAGCCGACCUGAGAGGGUGAUCGGCCACACUGGGACUGAGACACGGCCCAGACUCCUACGGGAGGCAGCAGUAGGGAAUCUUCGGCAAUGGACGAAAGUCUGACCGAGCAACGCCGCGUGAGUGAAGAAGGUUUUCGGAUCGUAAAGCUCUGUUGUAAGAGAAGAACGGGUGUGAGAGUGGAAAGUUCACACUGUGACGGUAUCUUACCAGAAAGGGACGGCUAACUACGUG